AGAGUUUGAUCAUGGCUCAGGACGAACGCUGACGGUGUGCUUUAGACAUGCAAGUCGAACGAGAAAGCCCUUCGGGGUGAGUACAGUGGCGAACGGGUGAGUAACACGUGGGCAAUCUGCCCCUCGCAGGGGGACAACCGGGGGAAACCCCGGCUAAUACCCCGUACGCUUACGGAGCCGCAUGGCUCCAUAAGGAGAGGUAGCUUCGGCCAUCCGGCGAGGGAUGAGCCCGCGGUACAUUAGCUAGUUGGUGAGGUAACGGCUCACCAAGGCGACGAUGUAUAGCUGGUCUGAGAGGAUGAUCAGCCACACUGGGACUGAGACACGGCCCAGACUCCUACGGGAGGCAGCAGUCGGGAAUCUUGCGCAAUGGGCGAAAGCCUGACGCAGCAACACCGUGUGAGCGACGAAGGCCUUCGGGUCGUAAAGCUCUGUUGUUGGGGACGAAGGGUUAGGGGUUAAUAGCCCCGAGCCUGACGGUACCCUUCGAGGAAGCCCCGGCUAACUACGUGCCAGCAGCCGCGGUAAUACGUAGGGGGCGAGCGUUGUCCGGAAUUAUUGGGCGUAAAGAGCGUGUAGGCGGUUCGGUAAGUCUGCCGUGAAAACCCAGGGCUCAACCCUGGGCGUGCGGUGGAUACUGCCGGGCUAGAGGGUGGUAGAGGCGAGUGGAAUUCCCGGUGUAGCGGUGAAAUGCGCAGAUAUCGGGAGGAACACCAGUAGCGAAGGCGGCUCGCUGGGCCACACCUGACGCUGAGACGCGAAAGCGUGGGGAGCAAACAGGAUUAGAUACCCUAGUAGUCC
Molecule: ribosomal RNA, 801 nt
Filed under: uncultured bacterium
Lineage: Bacteria
Description: bacterial SSU rRNA
Rfam family: Bacterial small subunit ribosomal RNA
Source: RNAcentral